CGUCAAAUCAUCAUGCCCUUUAUGUCCCGGGCUACACACGUACUACAAUGGCGUUAAACAAUGAGCAGCGAACCCGCGAGGGGGAGCGAAUCUCCAAAAGGCGCCUCAGUUCAGAUUGCAGGCUGCAACUCGCCUGCAUGAAGUUGGAAUUGCUAGUAAUCGCGAAUCAGCAUGUCGCGGUGAAUACGUUCCCGGGCCUU
RNAcentral lists this ribosomal RNA (200 nucleotides) under uncultured prokaryote. RNAcentral's name for it is "partial 16S ribosomal RNA". It matches the Rfam family "Bacterial small subunit ribosomal RNA", at positions 1183 to 1382 of the family's 1533-position model. The record is from RNAcentral.